AGCUAAGGAAGCUGAACUACCCGUGUGAUUCUCUGCAGACUGCGUGCACUGCGAUAGCCAAAACUCAUGAAUGUUCUUACUUUGCAGUAUUUCGUUGUGCCUUGUAAAAGCCGUGGUGAGUGGGUACCUCAAUAAUACUAAGGGAUCCUGGGUUUUGUUUUGCAGCAGUCAUCAUCUGUGACUUCCAUCUAGGCUGGCUUAUCUUACCUGGAGGGUGAAGCCUACCCUGGAAGCCUUGAUGAGAAAGGAUAGCUCUCACCUCCUCCGAUGAAUCAGGUCAGGUCUCUAGCCCUUCUUUCAUACGGUACAUCCUGGCACACUUCCUGCCCUUGGAAAAGAUUAUUUCAAUACCUGUGAAUAUAUGCAGUACGAUAGACCUCCUUAGACUUGCUUCUGCCCAUAUGGAAAACUGAGCUCUGAAUAUUUCUCUGGGAACCUCAAACGUGGAGAGUUCGCACAGUGAACAGAGAAUGUCUUCCUGCCCCUGAAAGAAAAAAGGAGUUGACUGAGGCAGAGCCACUGUUACAGGCUGAGAAUCAGCUCUACAUGGCUCAGAAGUGAAAGGGAGAAAUGAAACCAAAGCCUCCUCCAGCAUAUCUCAUCCUAACUCUCUUAUCCCUUUUCAGUACCAAACUGUAUUGUCUUAAUCUGGGAAUGUGAUUUAUUUGUGAAAUAUCUAGUGGGUGGCAGAGGUGGGGAGCAAAGCUGCACAAAGCUCCCCAGAGCUGCUGACCGAGGUAAAUAGUGUGUCAUAACACAUUUAUCAAAUAAUAAUGGAAACCAUAUAAAACAUAUAGGAGAGGGAGGGGGGAAACCCAUUCCCCUCUGGGAAGUUACUGAAUAUUUCAGCCAGUUUAUAAAAGUAUGUGUACAUGUGUUUGGAAGGGGGGAGGUUUUCCUAGCUUCACGUCUGUGAAUAAAUCAUUGGCCUGGGAUGUCUGAGCAGACAAGUGAAAUGGAUGAGUGCAUUACGGAUCAAGGAGGUGGUAUUCCUGCCUUGGUUAGUUUGAGAGAGACCACCUAAGCACUGUGGGACCAAGAUUAAACUGUAAGUUGUGCCUGUAGAGUUCUGAAAGGCUCAGGCUGCAGCCUCUGAAUAUGGUAGGAAGGUGGGGAAUAAAAUAAAACUGAUGGUAUUUCUCAAACAGAGGGCAUGUCUGAACUGGCUUUGUUGCUAAUAUUUUUUUUUUCCCGUGAAUUGGAUUGCAAGCAUAGAUAAAAUGAAAAAAAGAAAAGAAAGAAAUGGCAAAGGUGUAAUAGUUAUACCUAUUUUGGAAAUAAAUUGAUGUUUAGGUGCAAUUAAAAAAAAGGAAAAAGAGAUUAAUGAUGUACUAUGUAUAUUUUUCACUGUUUGCCACUAGUCAUUUUCAGAAUACAGAAGCUGAAGUCUGAAGCUCUCAUUGACAUUGAGAAGAAUCUUGCAUCAUAGAUGGUCUAUUGAAGUCAGUGGGAAUUACUUAUGGAAUGAGGUACCCAUUCCACAUAAAUAAGGCUUGCAGAAUUUGGAUGAGUGUUACCAAAAAAUACCAAGUUAAAAGGAGCCUGACAGAGACAGUAUCCUUAUAAAUAUAUGUAUAAUUACAACUUUAGAAUACUUGCAAGGGAGAAGGGGAUCUGAGUUUUGGAAUUAUAAGCUUUCACAGGAAAACCUCUUAGAGUGCAACUGAUCACCUUUUUAUAUUUACGCAUGGCAAUAGUGAUUGAAGGCUUAUCAGUCUACAUAUAGUAAUGAAUUAGAUGAAUUCUGGGGUGUAAGGAAAGCCAGUAGGAAUUAAAAGGUGAAAUAUGGAA
Molecule: long non-coding RNA, 1791 nt
Organism: Harpia harpyja (harpy eagle)
Lineage: Eukaryota; Metazoa; Chordata; Aves; Accipitriformes; Accipitridae
Exons: 3
Source: RefSeq, a predicted model, not a curated record